This 72-nucleotide transfer RNA is filed under the name Chaca bankanensis (angler catfish). RNAcentral's name for it is "tRNA-Val". The record is from RNAcentral. Lineage: Eukaryota; Metazoa; Chordata; Actinopteri; Siluriformes; Chacidae.
CAGAGCGUGGCCGAGUAAAACAAGCAUCUCCCUUACACCGAGAAGACAUCCAUGCAAGUUGGAUCGCUCUGA